Molecule: long non-coding RNA, 564 nt
Filed under: Olea europaea subsp. europaea
Lineage: Eukaryota; Viridiplantae; Streptophyta; Magnoliopsida; Lamiales; Oleaceae
Source: RNAcentral
AAGGUGGUGAUGGAGAGUGCCGGCACUGGUAGUGCGUGGGUGUGGGUCGAAGAUGGCAGCCUGAUUACGAGUUCUUUCUGUCUAGGAGAACCUAGUAAUUUCGUUUAUGUACUUAUUUCUAAUUUCUCGUGUGGUACUGACUAGUGCUAAUGCUUAUUCAGCGUUGUAUAGCAAUUGGUAAACCGAGGUAGUAGCUCAACAGCAUACUUUCAUUUUUGCAGUUUAGCUAUGUAGAUUAUUUCAAAGUUAGCUUUUUUUCCCCCCUUUAUCAUAUUUUGAUUUGGAAGGUGAAGACUAUAAAACCGAUAAGAAUUAUCUGUGGCUAUGUGGCUAUCACGACCAGUAGCGUUUGUUAGUUUGGACACAUUUUGGCAUGUUUAAUACUAGUUCAGAGAAAACAAAAUUAAAAUAGUGUUCACUAUACUUUUCAAUCAACAAGUCGUAUCUAAUACUGUGCGGUAAAUAUGCACUUAUUGUGCAAGUUUUGAAGGAUACGAGGUGAGGAGGAAAUUGUGUAAACAUGUUUGCCAUUGCUUCUUUUAUCAUUAGGUAUUUUCUCUAGAU